RNAcentral lists this ribosomal RNA (240 nucleotides) under uncultured bacterium. Its description in RNAcentral is "partial 16S ribosomal RNA". It matches the Rfam family "Bacterial small subunit ribosomal RNA", at positions 94 to 334 of the family's 1533-position model. The record is from RNAcentral.
AGUAGCGGACGGGUGAGUAACGCGUGGGUAACCUGCCUCAUACAGGGGGAUAACAGUUAGAAAUGACUGCUAGUACCGCAUAAGACCACAGCACCGCAUGGUGCAGGGGUAAAAACUCCGGUGGUAUGAGAUGGACCCGCGUCUGAUUAGGUAGUUGGUGGGGUAACGGCCUACCAAGCCGACGAUCAGUAGCCGACCUGAGAGGGUGACCGGCCACAUUGGGACUGAGACACGGCCCAA